UCUGUGAUGAUGAGCCGCGCAGGGGUACGGACCUCAGCCAAUGAUGGGGGCUGACUGCUGCUGCGCUCUGAUUGGAGGACGAGUGGUCAGCUGACAGAGCGGCAGCAGCAGGAAACAGACGCCGCGCUGAACAGA
This is a small nucleolar RNA of Trematomus bernacchii (emerald rockcod), 135 nucleotides long. RefSeq annotates it as small nucleolar RNA SNORD94. The transcript has a single exon. The record is from RefSeq and is a predicted model, not a curated record. NCBI's taxonomy places the organism in Eukaryota, Metazoa, Chordata, Actinopteri, Perciformes, Nototheniidae.